Molecule: long non-coding RNA, 4646 nt
Organism: Leopardus geoffroyi (Geoffroy's cat)
Lineage: Eukaryota; Metazoa; Chordata; Mammalia; Carnivora; Felidae
Exons: 3
Source: RefSeq, a predicted model, not a curated record
CGCCACCCAGGCGCCCCUCCUAUGCUAUAUUUUAAAGCAAAGAUUAUGAUGCUUGUUCUACUAUAACGAAGCCCUCUGUCCCUGACCCAGGAGCCCCGAGCCACCUGGCAGUGUCCAUGACUCUGAAGGAUCGACGGGCCAAUCCCAGACCGCUCACAGUCUGACAAGACCCAGGCCCGAUACCUCGAUGGGUUUCAUGAGAGCUGUGGUGUCUGAGGAGAGCAGUGGAAGGGAGCUGGUGAGAAGGCAGACAGAUUCAGGAGGUCUGCAAGCGCCCAGGGGAAGCCGAUGCUGUUGGCCUUGGACACGCUUGAGCAGGGUCCUGGGGACGGACGCACUGGACACAAGGCUGGCAUUUACCCCUGUGCCAGGAGGAUGGGACGGAAACUUCCUUAGGCCUGCCACCUGCACCACCCUGCCUCAUAUCGAGUCCCAUUGCCCUGUCCCCACCCGAACAGGCACAGUCUCAAUUCCCAGCUCCAGGGGACCGUUGAGAGAAAGAAAACUCCAGGCAGAAAUAACCACAUUUGCUUCUGGCCUGUUUGUUCAUUUAUCUGCUCUUCUGGAAACUAAGAAGCCCUUAUUUUUAGCACCUCCCAUGCUGAAGCGUGUUUUUGUUUUUUUUUUUUUUCCUUCAAGCUCUCUUAAAAAGUUGACACUUCCCAGCCUAUAAACUGCAAAGUCAUGUCAAGGUUCAACAGAAAGACACAGUGGGGGAAGAGGCCUCCUGUCCCACAGCCCCAGGAAACACUCACAGGAAGAAAGAGUGUCCCUGUAAGCAGGCCCCCCAGCGAAAGGCCCCGCUCCUUCAACCUUGGCUCACCUUAUGGAGUAGGGGGCGGGUGUUCUCUCUGGAGUCUCCUCCCUGCGUUGACCUCUUGACCAAGUGAAACUAACCACAUGGUAGUUUAUAAGCCUCUCACCGGAAAAAUGUGGGGUGUGUGAGCCAAGCGUGAACCCCCGUUUUAAAAACAUUUGCAAGGGGAUACUUGUGGCAACUGAGGUUCGAGGCUCGAGAUGUUUCUAGCUCUGACUCACCGUGAGAACUUGGGCAAGUCUGAAUUCUCUGGGUCUCGAUUUCUCUGUGAGGGACGGGGGAAUAAUGAUUGUAGACCCCUCUCCCCAGUUACACCCCUAGAACUCAAAAGAGCUGUUGCCCGCUCUACGUGACUAAUUUUUAGCUCAAACAUCCGUGACAUCUCUUAAUGUCCGUACACAAGGAACCAUGAUUCUAGCAGCCGCCUCAAAAACAGACCAGGGAGUCGUAAUAAUUAAUAAUGCAGUGCUAGGACAUAGAUUUCCAGGGCGGUAAUCUUCUUCGUGCCUCUGUGAGGACAGGGGGUGGCUGGUAUGAGUGAGAACGUCACCAUCAUCAUCAUCAUCAUCAUCAUCACCGUUGAUCUUUGCAAUCAGGAGGUGCAUUCUUCCCUAGAGCCCUCAAGACACUGUGGCCUGGACUUCCUGUCCCCAGAGCUACUUCUGUUAUGGGAAGUCCCGCCCCCAACACGUGGCACUUGGAAAUUAACACAGAGGGGAGCCCGGGCCCGGACCGAGAAGGCCCCAAAGGGAGCUCCGGAGGCGGCCAGAACACCCCGGGGCUGCAGGCUGGGCACCCGGAGAAGACUCAGGUCCCUCUGGUGCCAUCUGACCCACGGUGGGAAGCAGUUGGGGCGGCCGCCAGGCCAGCGCGCCCCCAGUAUCUAUGUCAGUCCCGGCCUGUCCCAAGCAGCCUGGCUGUCCACCAGGCUGUCGCCAAACUGACGGAAGACCCAGAUGAGGACGGGCUCUGUGGAAUGUGUUCUCUGAGCGCUCGCUGCCCGAGAGGCUGCCUGACUGAGUUCUUUGGACGGGAAAUUGCAGAGACGAGGCUCCGUGUCCGUGCCUCUCAUCCUUCUGCACCAUACAUGCGCCCUUUUUUCUCCUUUCUUCAUUUCCCCAUUUCUCUAAGCUCUUGUGAGCGCUCUGAUUGCCAACCCAAAUCUUGCCUGCCCGUCCAUCAGUAGGUCCCAGCCCCCGUCCUCACUGGCCACAUGACCACAUCCUCAUUGGCCACGUGACGCCUGGUUACAGGGACACUUCACCUUCUCCUUCUACCAAGUUCUAACGACAUGGGAGCGCCUUCCUCCUCUCGGUGAAGGGGGCGGGUCUCCAGGGCACAGGAGGCUCUUCUCGGAGCGCCCAGUGUAGUCAGGCUCAGGAAAGGACUCACAGUUUCAGGAAUCCACGGGGCGUCAAGGUUACUUGCAAAGACCAGGGGCCGGCCAGCAAACAGCCUGCGAGCCAAGAAUGGCUAUGUUUUUAAAUAGUUGAGUAAAAAAAAUAAAAGAAGACUAUUUUGUGACACGUGAAAAUUACAUGAAAUUCGAAGUUCGGCGUCCGCAAAGUCUUACCGGAACACGGCCACACUUAACUCGCUUCCACAUUCUCUGUGGCUGCUUUGCCCUUCGGCCACAGAGCUGAGUAGCUGUGACAGGCGGCACAACCCGCGGAGCCUAACUUGUGUACCAGCUGAUGUUCCUGAGAAAGGUUGCUGGCCCGUGGGCACAGACUCUGGGGCCAGAUUGUCUAACUUCAAAUCCUAGAUCCGCUGCUUACUGGCUGUGUGACGGGGGGGGGCAAGUUCCGUCUCCCUCUCUGCCUCUGUGUCCACAUCCCUCAAAUGGGUGCAACAGUCCUUAUUUCAAAAUAUCAUUGUACGGAUUAGAGGAACUAUCAUUUCUCAGGUCUUAGAACCGUGCCCGGCACUUAGGAGCACUGUGGAUAGGGGCCUGGGUGGCUCAGUGGCUGAGUGUCUGACUUCGGCUCAGGUCCUGAUCUCAUGGUUUGUGGGUUCCAGCCCUGCAUCGGGCUCUGUGCUAACAGCACAGAUUUUUAAAAAAUUAAAAAAAAAAAAAAUAGAAGUACUGUGAAUGGGUUAAACUAUUUUCAGAUCCUUACACAUCACCGUCCUACACCAGAGUGAAACGUAUAAGAAUGCUUAAGCUUUCCUUCUACUUGACACAGAAGGGUUCUUUAAACAUAUCGUUUUCUUUGCUUUUCAUCAUUGCCCCGUGUGCAAACAGAUCCAGGAAACCUUAGCUCGGGCUUCUCAAAUCCCAGAUGGGUUCUAAUUUGUUAUGUCGGAGGAAAAAAGUCUGUCUUCCCUAGCAGGGGCACGGGGCUGUUUUGUGAGUCACAGACGUCACCUCCUUACUCUUCAGCGUUAGAAGACGUUCUGGGCCAGCUCGACAAACCCUGCCUGUAAAGCGAAAGCAGAAUGAGGAAGCAUGGACCUCCCACAAGGACAGGGAUGUUCUCAUUCCUGAACCGUGGUGGCUGGGGUGACGCACGGAGGAGUCUGGGAGAGCUGGCACGGGACGGGGGACAUCCGCAGUAUCCCCACCCCCCCACCUCCCACUUCUUCCACGGGACCGAGUGCUGGUCGAGCUCCUGGCUGCUCCGCGGGAGAUUCCUCCCCUGUCCGACCUCCUGUGCCGUUUGUCGUGGUCAUGUGACCAGACGCAUCAGCGCUGGAAUGUGGGUGGGGGCUACAGGCACCACGACUGCCUCUGGGCCUUAAGUCAUGGAGCCCGUGCCCCGCCCUGCCCUCCACCUGCCUGUGAACUGCAACCACACAGAUGACAGCGAUACCCUAAGCGACGGCAAAACAGCAAGGUGACAGAACCUGGGUCCCUGAGUGAGCACGUGCAGCAGAGAAACCUGUCCCCUUGGACCCAUCGUGGAAGGACUCUCAGAGAGAGUACAUGUUUGUUAAGUCACCAUUCCGGGAGCUAGAACCUAGAACCUAGAACCUAGAAGACGGGGUUAAUUAUACUUCUGCACCCACCUCGGGACGUUCCAGUGAGAAUGUACUUUGACCAUCAAGGAGACCUAAUUCUGCAUAAGACUCAGAAUUUUCCCGAGAGUCUGACCCCUCGUCUUCUUUAGCCGCCAAGAUAAAGAGCCUCAGGCUUACGUGUGUUUUCAAGGAGCUUUGGAAAUGUUUAAGACUUGAAAAAAAUUAGAGGCCUCAAAGUAUGGAAAUAGCAAUAGGAAACUCAAAUGAUUACUUCACAUACUCCCCCAUUAAUUGUGAUAUUGAGGACACAUGAAAGUCUCACUACAUCUGCAAAACAUUUGUAAAGCCAAGUGUUCCCAUGUUACAAGAACUGGUAGGUAUGCCAGCGAUUGCCAGGACAUAACAGCGAAUCGUUAAGUUAAAUGAGCAACUUGUGGCUAAAAUCAUUUUCAGAGCAAAAUCACGGCCCCGCCCAACCGCCACAGAGCUCAUCGUGCCAGGUGAUUGCACACUUCCAGAGCUGUCUCUACGUCCCCCUUUCUCUUGCUUACUCAUCACAAACACCAAUCAACCAAAACCUCUUUCUCUAAACAUGAAAAAUACGGAAGCCGACGGAGUUGGGUGGAACGCCAAAUCAUUCUGGUUGCACGCAGGGACCAGGGCUUUGGAUGUGCAUUUCAGCAGGACAGACGGUUCCUGAGUCAUAAGGUCAAAGUCGCCAUCAGCUGAUGUGCAUCCGAUUGGGCUUUUCCAAUCGGACUUUCCCCAAACCCACUCCCCUGCAAGGAAGGGAAAGCAGGUAUUUUCCAAACCCACACCUUACAAAUGUCAGGGAUUUUUUUUUUUUUUUAAUGCUUGGUCUCCCUCA